Molecule: ribosomal RNA, 477 nt
Filed under: uncultured organism
Description: partial 16S ribosomal RNA
Rfam family: Bacterial small subunit ribosomal RNA
Source: RNAcentral
UACACUCCUGCGGGAGGCAGCAGUGGGGAAUUUUGGACAAUGGGCGAAAGCCUGAUCCAGCAAUGCCGCGUGAGUGAAGAAGGCCUUCGGGUUGUAAAGCUCUUUUGUCAGGGAAGAAACGGUGAAAGCUAAUAUCUUUUGCUAAUGACGGUACCUGCAGAAUAAGCACCGGCUAACUACGUGCCAGCAGCCGCGGUAAUACGUAGGGUGCAAGCGUUAAUCGGAAUUACUGGGCGUAAAGCGUGCGCAGGCGGUUUUGUAAGUCUGAUGUGAAAUCCCCGGGCUCAACCUGGGAAUUGCAUUGGAGACUGCAAGGCUAGAAUCUGGCAGAGGGGGGUAGAAUUCCACGUGUAGCAGUGAAAUGCGUAGAUAUGUGGAGGAACACCGAUGGCGAAGGCAGCCCCCUGGGUCAAGAUUGACGCUCAUGCACGAAAGCGUGGGGAGCAAACAGGAUUAGAAACCCCAGUAGUCCCAUGA